This 498-nucleotide ribosomal RNA is filed under the name uncultured organism. RNAcentral describes it as "SSU rRNA". It matches the Rfam family "Bacterial small subunit ribosomal RNA", at positions 18 to 509 of the family's 1533-position model. The record is from RNAcentral.
CCUGGCUCAGGAUGAACGCUAGCGGCAGGCUUAACACAUGCAAGUCGAGGGGUAACAGGGAGUAGCAAUACUCUGCUGACGACCGGCGCACGGGUGCGUAACGCGUAUGCAACCUACCUUGUACAGGGGGAUAACGGGAUGAAAAUUCCACUAAUAUCCCAUAGUGUCAUGGGACCGCAUGGUUCUAUGACUAAAGCUACGGCGGUGCAAGAUGGGCAUGCGUGACAUUAGGUAGUUGGCGGGGCAACGGCCCACCAAGCCGACGAUGUCUAGGGGAGCUGAGAGGCUUAUCCCCCACACUGGUACUGAGACACGGACCAGACUCCUACGGGAGGCAGCAGUGAGGAAUAUUGGUCAAUGGACGGAAGUCUGAACCAGCCAUGCCGCGUGGAGGAAGAAGGUCCUAUGGGUUGUAAACUCCUUUUGUUCCGGAGUAAUAAGGUCUUUGCGAAGACCGAUGAGAGUACGGGACGAAUAAGCAUCGGCUAACUCCGUGCC